CAAUAGCGUAUAUUUAAGUUGCUGCAGUUAAAAAGCUCGUAGUUGGAUUUCGGGUGGGAAUGGCCGGUCCGCCGUUUCGGUGUGCACUUGCUACGCCCACCUUGCUGCCGGGGACGUGCUCUUGAGUUCACGCUCGGGACACGGAGUCGGCGAGGUUACUUUGAGUAAAUUAGAGUGUUCAAAGCAGGCCUACGCUCUGAAUACAUUAGCAUGGAAUAGCACGAUAGGACUCUGGCCUAUCUUGUUGGUCUGUAGGACCGGAGUAAUGAUUAAGAGGGACAGUCGGGGGCACUCGUAUUUCAUUGUCAGAGGUGAAAUUCUUGGAUUUAUGAAAGACGAACUACUGCGAAAGCAUUUGCCAAGGAUGUUUUCAUUAA
Molecule: ribosomal RNA, 377 nt
Filed under: uncultured eukaryote
Lineage: Eukaryota
Description: partial 18S ribosomal RNA
Rfam family: Eukaryotic small subunit ribosomal RNA
Source: RNAcentral